CGUAGGGUGCGAGCGUUAAUCGGAAUUACUGGGCGUAAAGGGUGCGCAGGCGGUUAUGAAAGACAGGCGUGAAAUCCCCGGGCUUAACCUGGGAACUGCGUUUGUGACUACAUGACUCGAGUACGGCAGAGGGGGGUGGAAUUCCACGUGUAGCAGUGAAAUGCGUAGAGAUGUGGAGGAACACCGAUGGCGAAGGCAGCCCCCUGGGCCAGUACUGACGCUCAUGCACGAAAGCGUGGGGAGCAAACAGGAUUAGAUACCCUGGUAGUCCACGCCCUAAACGAUGUCAACUAGUUGUUGGUAGGGUAAAACCUAUUAGUAACGUAGCUAACGCGUGAAGUUGACCGCCUGGGGAGUACGGCCGCAAGGUUA
Molecule: ribosomal RNA, 372 nt
Filed under: uncultured organism
Description: bacterial SSU rRNA
Rfam family: Bacterial small subunit ribosomal RNA
Source: RNAcentral